AGUCGAGCGAAUGGAUUAAGAGCUUGCUCUUAUGAAGUUAGCGGCGGACGGGUGAGUAACACGUGGGUAACCUGCCCAUAAGACUGGGAUAACUCCGGGAAACCGGGGCUAAUACCGGAUAACAUUUUGAACUGCAUGGUUCGAAAUUGAAAGGCGGCUUCGGCUGUCACUUAUGGAUGGACCCGCGUCGCAUUAGCUAGUUGGUGAGGUAACGGCUCACCAAGGCAACGAUGCGUAGCCGACCUGAGAGGGUGAUCGGCCACACUGGGACUGAGACACGGCCCAGACUCCUACGGGAGGCAGCAGUAGGGAAUCUUCCGCAAUGGACGAAAGUCUGACGGAGCAACGCCGCGUGAGUGAUGAAGGCUUUCGGGUCGUAAAACUCUGUUGUUAGGGAAGAACAAGUGCUAGUUGAAUAAGCUGGCACCUUGACGGUACCUAACCAGAAAGCCACGGCUAACUACGUGCCAGCAGCCGCGGUAAUACGUAGGUGGCAAGCGUUAUCCGGAAUUAUUGGGCGUAAAGCGCGCGCAGGUGGUUUCUUAAGUCUGAUGUGAAAGCCCACGGCUCAACCGUGGAGGGUCAUUGGAAACUGGGAGACUUGAGUGCAGAAGAGGAAAGUGGAAUUCCAUGUGUAGCGGUGAAAUGCGUAGAGAUAUGGAGGAACACCAGUGGCGAAGGCGACUUUCUGGUCUGUAACUGACACU
This 707-nucleotide ribosomal RNA is filed under the name Bacillus sp. (in: firmicutes). RNAcentral's name for it is "bacterial SSU rRNA". It matches the Rfam family "Bacterial small subunit ribosomal RNA", at positions 60 to 747 of the family's 1533-position model. The record is from RNAcentral. Lineage: Bacteria; Bacillati; Bacillota; Bacilli; Caryophanales; Bacillaceae.